This is a long non-coding RNA of Astatotilapia calliptera (eastern happy), 1135 nucleotides long. The record is from Ensembl. Lineage: Eukaryota; Metazoa; Chordata; Actinopteri; Cichliformes; Cichlidae.
UUUUUGACAUCAAGCCAUGGCGAGAGCUCACUUACAGCCAAGACAAGUACCCUCCAAUUCAUCAAAACAAUAAAAUGUCCACAAAUGCAGGUGCUACGCCUUUUUAUUUUGGGGGGGGGGGGGGGGGGUUACUAUAAUUUUUGAGUUUCUUUUCAGAUGAAGGGCGUUCAAUUCAGUGUACACAUUGUGACAAUAUAAUUUUUACUUUCUCAUUAUUUCCUCACCCACAUGCAACCUGUCAAAUCAGGGUGCUCUAAUUCAUGGGACAGAAUUGCAAUUAUGCCUGGCUGAAGUCUCACAUCAAGGAGAGGGGAGGAGGGUGGGGUGGGUGGGUGUGUGGAGGGGGUGAAGGAAAUGUUGCAUUUCUCCUACAAACAUGCUGCACGCUCAGCUCCGUGUUUUCCAAAUGUGUCCAUUCAGAAAACAAACGAUCCAGUGCUGCCACCAAUUACGUAACCGAGCCUAUAGACAAGCAAGUCGUUUACGUUGUGGAGGCAUAUUCUGAAUGAAGGCGGGCAGGAGGAAGUGAUCACAACAAAAGUGAAAAAAAAAAAAAAAAAAACAGAGGCAAACGCAGAAUCGUAAAAAAAAAAAAAAAAGGAAGAGAGAAAGAAAGAAAAAAACCUACACACGCUCUGACACACACACACAGGUGCACAUCCACAGAUCGAGUCUGCGCUUUAAGGACGUGGACGCGGCGUUUCUCUCGUGCCUGUCAAACCCGGGACCGGUCUCUUGUUUGGGGCUAUUCACUGACCAAACCAACACCAACCUGUGACAUGACUAAUGCGUUGACGCAAAGCUUUAUACCUGGGAACAACUCCCGGGCUCCAGCCGGGUGUGUGGCUAUUAAUCAGACACGGAACGUGCUGUAUUAUAGAAACCUAUCAGCGGCGCUCGCGUUAGACACAAGGACACGCCGUAUUACUCUCUUUAUCUGACAAAGCCGAGCGCUUUGGGACAACAUCUGUUUGCCACACACACACACGCAUGCACGCACACACACGCAUACACGCACGCUCUCUGCCCCUGUCCAUCUCUCAGUCACACGCGCGCGCGUGCACGCUCGCGAUCGAGCACGGAGAGAGCAAGACUGACAUGUUGCUCGGGAUGAACUCUCUGUGGCCCUUUCAGU